CGGCGGACGGGUGAGUAACGCGUGGAUAACCUGCCCCAUACCGGGGGAUAACAGUUAGAAAUGACUGCUAAUACCGCAUAAGCGCACGGCGCCGCAUGGCGCAGUGUGAAAAGCUCCGGUGGUAUGGGAUGGAUCCGCGUCUGAUUAGCUAGUUGGCGGGGUAACGGCCCACCAAGGCAGCGAUCAGUAGCCGACCUGAGAGGGUGGCCGGCCACAUUGGGACUGAGACACGGCCCAAACUCCUACGGAAGGCAGCAG
RNAcentral lists this ribosomal RNA (258 nucleotides) under uncultured bacterium. Its description in RNAcentral is "partial 16S ribosomal RNA". It matches the Rfam family "Bacterial small subunit ribosomal RNA", at positions 96 to 354 of the family's 1533-position model. The record is from RNAcentral.